Molecule: long non-coding RNA, 2494 nt
Organism: Bos taurus (domestic cattle)
Lineage: Eukaryota; Metazoa; Chordata; Mammalia; Artiodactyla; Bovidae
Source: Ensembl
GCCACAUCCACAGGGCUGGAGCUUUGGGCCUGAGACUCAGGACCUAAAGUUUCCUUUUAGAGUCGGUCCUGGGGAUGCACAUGUGGAUUAAAUUAGAGCAAUAUGUUUUUCUAACAGCAUCUUGGCUGAAAAGCCAAGCAGAUAAAUGGAAACAAACACAGCUUUAUGUGAAUGAAAAGGGGCUGACGAGGCAGCCACUUCUGCCUGAAGCGCCACAGCCAGCAGGGUUGCCCUCCUGGGGUCUCCCCCUCCUCCCGCUUCCCCCUCCAGCCCUGACCCUGGAAGCAUUCACCAGAGGGCUCCUCAAGGCCCCUCACCCAGCCUCUGCCCUGGCUGAACUGGCUUCCUGCCCAUCUCCAAACCCGAUUUGUGCUGCCCACUCUUGACCACAGUCAUCACCUAUGCUGUGCUCUCUGUGCAGCCACCACAAAAAUCCCAGAAGUACAGGGUUCAGAGAACUUCCAGGUUGGUGAACACAGCCACAUACCAGGAGGGUGAAGCACCCUAACUCUAUGGACACAGAAGCUCCUGGACUUGGGACUCUCCUGGAUCUUGCCCUGUGUGUCUCUAUAUCUGGCUGCUCAUCAUAUUUAUCAUAUCCUUUUAUAACCUGGUAAAUGUUGAUUGUGGCAGAACUGAGUUAAAUGGUAGGACAUCCAGCUGAUGUUGCAGACUUGCUUGCUGUGGGAACCGCCCCAGCCCCCCACCACCCCCACCACACACACACAUCUGGUGACCAGAAGCAUGAGAAGUGUUCCAUGUGAAAGUAAAGAGAAAGACGCAGGAGGAUGAAGGAGCAAGUUUUCUUCUUAAUAGAGAGAGAUUGCUAAGACAAUGACAAUGAAGUGUCUUAAGAAUCUGAAUUUAUAUUAAAAAUGUGAAAGUGCCAAACCUCAAAGCAAGUCCGUGGAGCCUAAAUAAGUGGAAUGGGAGUGGAGAAGAAACACGGAGGCGAGGUUGUGAUGUGGCGUGGCGCAGGAGGCCCUGUGGGCCUGCUCAUCUGGAAUUCUGCAGCGCGGUUGUGUGGGAUCACAACGCUUUCCGGCACUUGUUCAUAUCUUAUUGCCACGGGUGAGACGGGAAGCCAGCAGCAGCAUCCCACACAUUCAAAAGACCUGCAUUGCUGGUGGACGGCUUGGACCGGGUCUCUGUUGAGAAGUCCCAGUCAGGGGGAAGGGCUUAUCGCCCAGCAGGUCCCCCUUUUAUCUCCAUAAAGUGGGGACCCCCUGUCUCAGGGUCCUGCUAAGCACCUCCCUUUCUGGGGCAGUUUUUGUAGCUUGCUUUUCCACCAUCUCUCUCUCUAUAUAUAUAUAUAAAUGUAUAUCGUGGUGAUGCGUCCAGAUCUAGGUUAUUCAUUUUAAUUCCUGAAUAUAUUUCAUCAUAUGACUGUACUACAUUUUUUCAUUGGAAUAUAAUUGCUUUAUAAAGUGUUAGUUUCUGCUGUACAAUAACGUGAAUCAGCUGUGUGUAUACAUGUACUACAUUUUAUUUGUCCAUUGCUAAAUUAAUGAAAGUUUAGGAUAGUCCCGGUUUGGUGCUAAUAGACAAUGCUGCAGGUAACACAUUUUAGAUUUCCAUGUGCACCCAGCCUUGGGCACUCUGGGGAAUGUAGCUAAAAGCAGAACUUGCAGGUGAUGGGUUAGUGCAUCUUCGACUUGCUGAGUUCUUGCCCAAUUCACCUCCAAAUUCUGCCGUGAAGGUACAGUCCCACAGGGAACACAAAACCGGUCCCAUUUCCAACAUCCUUGCCAACAGCUGAUGUCAUCAGAAGAUUGUUACAUUUUGCCAUUCUUAUUUAUGUUGACCUAUUUAAUAGUAAGCUUGAAUAUCUUGUCACAUAUUUAUGGACUUCUUUUUUUCUCACCUAUGAUUUGCCUGAUGAUAUCCUGACGUUUCUAUUAGAUUAUUCAUAUUUUUCUUAUUUAUAACAGUUUGCUAAAUACUCUGGAUAUGAUUUUUGUUGUUGUUGUUAUAGGGGUUGUAAAUAUUUCCUCCAAGCUUGUGGACUGUGGGUUUUCUUUUGACUGGACUGUGGCUUUUUUUGUUUAUUUUGGUUUGGUUUUUAACAUUGCUAGUGGUGUCUUUUUGAUGUGCAGAACUUUAAAAUUUUAAUGUGGUAAAAGUCUCUCUUUCUUUUGUGGUUGGUAAUUUUUCUAUUUUAUUCAAAAAAUCCUUCUGUAACCUCAGUGACAUAAAAAUAUUUUCCUAUAUUUUUCUUAAUUCAAAUGGAUUGAGGCAUAAUUUACACACAAUAAAACGCACCCAUUUGAAGUAUAGUGCCUGCCGCAUUUUGACAAAUGUAUACGACCAUGUUGGAGAAGGCAAUGGCACCCCACUCCAGUACUCUUGCCUGGAAAAUCCCAUGGACAGAGGAGCCUGGAAGGCUGCAGUCCAUGGGGUCACUAAGAGUCGGACACGACUGAGUGACUUCAUUUUCACUUUUCACUUUCAUGCAUUGGAGAAGGAAAUGGCAACCCACUCCAGUGUUCUUGCC